CCCAGACUAGCGGCGCGAUUCGCCCUUAGAGUUUGAUCCUGGCUCAGGAUGAACGCUAGCGGCAGGCCUAAUACAUGCAAGUCGAGCGGCAGCAUUCGCCUUCGGGCGAGAUGGCGAGCGGCGGAUGGGUGCGUAACGCGUAUGCAACCUGCCAUCGAGCGGGGAAUAGCCCGUGGAAACGCGGAUUAAUGCCCCAUGGUCCCUUAGGUCGGAUUCGAUUAAAGGGUAAAGCUGAGGCGCUCGGUGAUGGGCAUGCGUCCAAUUAGCUGGUCGGUGGGGUAACGGCCCACCGAGGCGACGAUUGGUAGGGGCCCUGAGAGGGUUGUCCCCCACACUGGUACUGAGACACGGACCAGACUCCUACGGGAGGCAGCAGUAGGGAAUAUUGGUCAAUGGGCGCUGGCCUGAACCAGCCAUGCCGCGUGCAGGAAGAAGGUCUUUGGGCUGUAAACUGCUUUUCUACGGGAAGAAAAGGGAACUGCGGUUUCUAUUGACGGUACCGUAGGAAUAAGCACCGGCUAACUACGUGCCAGCAGCCGCGGUAAUACGUAGGGUGCGAGCGUUGUCCGGAAUUACUGGGUUUAAAGGGUGCGCAGGCGGCCAUGCAAGUCAGCGGUGAAACCCCUGCGCUCAACGCGGGGCCUGCCGUUGAUACUGCGUGGCUUGAGUGGGCCAGAGGCAGGCGGAAUUCAUGGUGUAGCGGUGAAAUGCAUAGAUACCAUGAGGAACACCUAUUGCGUAGGCAGCUUGCUAGGGCCCGACUGACGCUGAGGCACGAAAGCGUGGGGAGCGAACAGGAUUAGAUACCCUGGUAGUCCACGCUGUAAACGUUGGACACUCGAUGUCGGGGCCGUAGUUUCGGCGUCCAAGCGAAGCGUAAGUGUCCCACCUGGGGAGCACGGCCGCAAGGUGAACUCAAAGGAUUGACGGGGUCCGCACAGCGGUGGAGCAUGUGGUUUAUUCGAUGAUACGCGAGGACCUACUGGCUAAUCACGGGGAA
This 1000-nucleotide ribosomal RNA is filed under the name uncultured bacterium. RNAcentral describes it as "bacterial SSU rRNA". It matches the Rfam family "Bacterial small subunit ribosomal RNA", at positions 1 to 991 of the family's 1533-position model. The record is from RNAcentral.